AUUAUCUCACAAUGGUCCUCGUUUCAGCUAGCUGAACCAAUAGAAUUUUAUUUUUAGUUGCUACAAAAUAGUUAGCAUUGAAAGAAAGUAUGCUAUGUGUAGGUGCAACCACAUACAUGAGAGCGGAUUAGUAGGAAUAUACAAAUUUCUUGAAGCAACCAAAUACUGGUUGUAAGCAAACAAUAAACAGAGGGGGAGUAGGGGUGCAGGGUUAUUACGAUAAUUGGCAAUAUCUAUUGUCUUUGGAGUCGCAAUCGCUAGAAUUGGAGGUAGCGUGAUGACCUGUAUGCGGAAUCAAUUAAAUAACAGAUUAAUAAGUCCAUACUAAUAUCAGUAAAUAAAUUUUAUGGAGAAGUAUAUAAGUCGGCCACAUACAUAAGGGAUAAGACACCAUGUGGAACCGGUUGGAUUCUUAUUUAACAUGAUCCUGAGUUGCUAGCUUGAUACGCGAAACAAAAAUGUGUUGAUUAUACUCAACCUGCACGUGAAUACGAAGGCAUAAUAUCUAUCAAAAGCAUUGUGAAUUAUGACAUAGUGCUUCUGAGAGUAUAGUAGCUUUGAAAUUUGAUGGUAAGGCUUCAAGACGAAUUCUUAACAUGUUUCAAUCCGAUGAGGCAUACUCCAAAGCAUGUUUUAUGACAGACCUAGUGCUACUGUGCUAGUCAGUAUGGUAGGUGUAAGUAUGAUAAAUGAUAUAUUUUUCAUGCAGGCAGAUAAUAUGAGUAUUUACAGAAGAGCGAUGCAUUUAAACUAUAGGAGAUUGAUCCAAUAUCUUUUAAGCAGCAAAUGUCUUUUACCUGGUUUGUUCAAAGUCUUUAUGUGUAGGCAACUGGACUAUAACUGAAUAUCUCCUUUUCCAGCGCGAUGACCUUGCCUACAGAAUCAAUUACAAAACAGGUUACUAAGUGCAUACCUAUAUUUGUAAACAAAAUUUGGGGAAAAUCUAUAAAGUGACCAUAUGCACAACACACCAUGCAUGUGUAACCGGUUGUGAUAUACACAUUUGUGAUACGCUGGUGUGCAUAUUCUAUAGGGAAUUUUUUUGUGUGUGAUUUUCUUUUUUGUUGCAGUUUAAAAAAAAUCCUGAACAUACUAAGUGAUAGACAAUCAUCAAUUAUCAUGGUUAGAUACUCUAUACUAAACCAAAUUGCAGUAAAAAUUAGUAAAAUUUCUAAAAAAAUAAAUAAGGCAAGUAGUCAAAGUUAUGAUUAAAAAACUCAAACGUCAUAUAUUUGUGAAUGUAGGGAGCUUUAUUUGUAACAAAGGGAAAAGUUUAAAUUAGAUCAGGCCUUAUAUGCACAUAGUUUAAAGUGAAAUGAGAACCACGAUCGAAUAUACAUACAUUGAUAAAGAUAAAUGAUACUUAUACUCCAUGCAGAUUUGGUCUGACUUCAAAUCGCUUGCCUCAACACUGCUCUGUAGAUCCAUCCUAGGGCCGAGGGAGCAGUUUGGAGUAUGCAUAAUUGUUACGCGGUAUAUGUAUAUAUAAUCCAUAUGUAUUUUUUUGUGCAUCAGUUAUACGUUCUCAGCAUAAGAAAUAUAAAUUAUGUGGCAGUCAGACAGUAAAUGUGAUUCUGUGGUUGAGCACGUUGUGAGACAACAUUUGUGACGAAAAGGGGCCCUUUAAAUUAGAAAAUUAGAUAAGGCCUAAUAUGGAGAGGGGGAAUUGUUGGGAUCAGCCUAAUAUGCUCAGUAUUAAGUGAGUUGAGUACGAAUAAGAAAGAGGGGAAGAAUGUGAACCUAUUUUCUAGCUGGAGCAUGAAUGGUGAGAAGAAUGUCUAGCCUGGUUCCUAGUCUGAGCACGUAUUGGACAGAAGAGAUGAAUGAUGAAGACGACGAGGCGCGCUCGCACACAUAAGUUUGGUUACAGACUUGUGAUUCCUACCGGCGAAUGAGAUGGUCGCGCGAGGAGGUUGCGCCUGUGAAGGCGGUGGAGGCGCGCGGCG
RNAcentral lists this long non-coding RNA (1946 nucleotides) under Zea mays. RNAcentral describes it as "long non-coding RNA (ZMAY_LNC000019)". Lineage: Eukaryota; Viridiplantae; Streptophyta; Magnoliopsida; Poales; Poaceae. The record is from RNAcentral.